GGCCAAUCAGACGCCCCAGGAGGGCUCCGGCGGAAGUGAGGCACUUCCGGCGGAAGUGAGGCGCCUCCACCGCAUCUCUGGAGCCUGGAGCGGCCCAGGUGAUGUGGUCCCGGAGCUGAUGGCAGAUUCCUGGAGGAGCGAGUUGGUGCUGGGAAGUCCUUUCAUUGAAGUGGAGGCCAUGGUUCCCAAAGCGCACAAACUCGCUAUUCAGUCUAUACAGUGGAUGCUGUGGAUGCUGUGAUACCAUCGUGCGAGAAAUAAUAGGAUACUCUGUAUAAAAGCUACAAGAGGGAAACCCCAUGUUGGAUUCCUCCAAAAACAGCAAGCUCUUGGAGGAAGGCCCAGGAGGGACCUUAUUUAUUGCUGUUGACACCACAUUCCCUGGGAGUCCACCUUGCACAGACAAAGACAAGAAUUCCGCAAACAAUGCCGGUCAGUGGAACCUAAUAUGCAAGAGAGGAUUCAGGUGGUUCCAGGAGCUGAGAGAGCCUGGGACCAGCUGUGGACAGGACAACCUGAAUGGAGCUCUCCUCUUCCAGAGAUUGGGGUCCUCUGUUAGAGUCCUGCAAAAGGAGUUAGAGACCCAGGUAAACAAAAAGAUGCCCACUCCUCAAGAACAUUCUCUGGAGAGACUGAUCGGAGACAGAAGUGGCAUCAGCCACUCAUCCACCAAGAUGAGAAGAAAUCCAGGAGACCAGGAAACCAACAUACCCACAGUGGUAGCCAUUUAGAAAUAUCACUUGCAGGUUUAUGAAGAGUGGGGUGCGCAUAUGUAUUGAAUUUGUACAUAUAUAUACAUAAAAAUGUAUGUUUAUAUGUCCACACACACAUAUACACAUGUAUAUUCUAACUUUGGCAGUGAGGCCUUCAAACCUGAAAGUAGGACUCUGGCAUCACAUUGAGGGCUGUGGCAAGUGGCCCCUGUGUGUGUUCUCCUAGCUUCUCUAUGUCCAGUGUGAACCUGCUGGCCACAGACUACUUAUGCAGGUCUCAAGUUAUACUCUGUUGACUCUCAGCUCCAUAGCUCACUAGCCUCAGUUUCCUCAUCCAUACAAUGGGCAUAAUGUGAGUUAUUUUAGGUAGACCACAUUAUUAGCAACCUCAUCAAAUAAGAAAAUACGUGUAAUAGAUUUGACACCUAGAAUACAUUCAAUGAGAUGCUAGUUAUUAUUACGUUUUAUUAGGUUCCCUUCUUAGCCUUUGCCUGUUGCUAACAAUAGAACUGUAAGUGGGGAUCUUCUUUAUAAACUGCAGAGGCUCCGUGACCCAGGAUUUUUUUUUUCUUCUACAUCCUUUAUUAUUAUUUUUUUUAAGAUUUUAGUUUUAUUUAUUUAUUCAUGAGAGACACAGAGAGAGAUAGGCAGAGACAUAGACAGAGGGAGAAGCAGGCUCCAUGCAAGGAGUCCCAGGACUCUGGGAUCAUGCCCUGAGCCAAAGGCAGAGCCUCAACUGCUGAGCCACCCAGGCAUCCCUACAUCCUUUAUUCUUAGUCAAAUGCAGCAGUACAUGGAAAUUUAACUAAACAUGAGUUAUUAAAUGACCAAACACCAGGGCAAACUUUUGGAAAGUCAUAAAACUUUUACCAGCUAUAAAUAAAAAUGUCCUUAAGACUUGUGAUGGUUUGGCA
Long non-coding RNA from Vulpes vulpes (red fox), 1627 nucleotides. The record is from Ensembl. NCBI's taxonomy places the organism in Eukaryota, Metazoa, Chordata, Mammalia, Carnivora, Canidae.